Molecule: long non-coding RNA, 457 nt
Organism: Sphaeramia orbicularis (orbiculate cardinalfish)
Lineage: Eukaryota; Metazoa; Chordata; Actinopteri; Kurtiformes; Apogonidae
Exons: 3
Source: RefSeq, a predicted model, not a curated record
GUUUGCAGCUUACUCACCGGGCUUAUUACGCGCAGAAACUCCUCCGGUAAUUUUCGGCUCCUGUUUUUUAAAUAUCUUCCCCCCUCACGGCCACUGAGAACGGGCUCAACGUCAGUGGGGACCCACGGUCGGUGGCUGCUGACAAAAUGUGUCGCGGAUUUCCGAGGAGAAGCCAUGAGGACAAGAAGAAGCAGGAGCCGGACUGUCGCUCAAAAAGCCUCUCUCCGUGUGUGGUGGACUGGAUCCGGCAGAGCGACCCGGGUCUACCGCAGUGUCCGGAUGGAAAAGCUCCGGAUUUUACGCACGGAAAUGCACCGCGCCAAAUGGAAACAAGUGGAGUAAAUAAUAACAACAUGGGUUUAGAAUCUGCGGCCAUGGCUGAAAUAGGAAGUGGAUGCACAUGAAUACAACAGUAGAAGGAAUACAAGCACUUAUCUAUAGGAAUAAUGUUGCAGUG